UACAGAGGUCUCAAGCGUUGUUCGGAUUCAUUGGGCGUAAAGGGUGCGUAGGUGGCGCGGUAAGUCGGGUGUGAAAUCUCGGAGCUUAACUCCGAAACUGCAUUCGAUACUGCCGUGCUUGAGGACUGGAGAGGAGACUGGAAUUUACGGUGUAGCGGUGAAAUGCGUAGAUAUCGUGAGGAAGACCAGUGGCGAAGGCGGGUCUCUGGACAGUUCCUGACGCUGAGGCACGAAGGUCAGGGGAGCAAACGGG
RNAcentral lists this ribosomal RNA (253 nucleotides) under uncultured bacterium. RNAcentral's name for it is "partial 16S ribosomal RNA". It matches the Rfam family "Bacterial small subunit ribosomal RNA", at positions 524 to 776 of the family's 1533-position model. The record is from RNAcentral.